Molecule: long non-coding RNA, 262 nt
Filed under: Hordeum vulgare
Lineage: Eukaryota; Viridiplantae; Streptophyta; Magnoliopsida; Poales; Poaceae
Description: long non-coding RNA (HVUL_LNC010477)
Source: RNAcentral
GAAAAGAAGAGAUAUAUAGAAUUGGCUUACACUCGCCACAAGAACAUCUGAGUCACCUCAGUACAUUACAUAUUCAUCUUGAGUAAGAGCAGGAUCCGACUACGGACGAAAAUAAACGGCAAAAGAAGAACGACGUCCAUCCUUGCUAUCCCAGGCUCCCGGCCUGGAACCCACCCUAGACCGAUGAAGAAGAAGAAGAAGAAGUAGCAACUCCAAAUGAACAAUCAACGCGCUCGCGUCAAGUACCCUUUACCUGUACCUG